This 429-nucleotide ribosomal RNA is filed under the name Actinomycetes bacterium. RNAcentral describes it as "Actinobacteria bacterium partial 16S ribosomal RNA". It matches the Rfam family "Bacterial small subunit ribosomal RNA", at positions 355 to 776 of the family's 1533-position model. Lineage: Bacteria; Bacillati; Actinomycetota; Actinomycetes. The record is from RNAcentral.
UAGGGAAUCUUCCGCAAUGGGCGAAAGCCUGACGGAGCAACGCCGCGUGAGUGAUGAAGGUCUUCGGAUCGUAAAACUCUGUUAUUAGGGAAGAACAAAUGUGUAAGUAACUAUGCACGUCUUGACGGUACCUAAUCAGAAAGCCACGGCUAACUACGUGCCAGCAGCCGCGGUAAUACGUAGGUGGCAAGCGUUAUCCGGAAUUAUUGGGCGUAAAGCGCGCGUAGGCGGUUUUUUAAGUCUGAUGUGUAAGCCCACGGCUCAACCGUGGAGGGUCAUUGGAAACUGGAAAACUUGAGUGCAGAAGAGGAAAGUGGAAUUCCAUGUGUAGCGGUGAAAAGCGCAGAGAUAUGGAGGAACACCAGUGGCGAAGGCGACUUUCUGGUCUGUAACUGACGCUGGUGUGCGAAAGCGUGGGGAUCAAACAGG